CUUAUCAUUUAGAGGAAGGAGAAGUCGUAACAAGGUUUCCGUAGGUGAACCUGCGGAAGGAUCAUUGUCGAAUCCUGCAAAGCAGAACGACCCGCGAACCCGUUAACAAAACGCGGACGGGGGGGCAUGCCCGCCCGUCCGCUGCCGGGGGUUCCACGCGGCGCUCCGCCGCCCGUGUGCCCCCGACCGUACAUCGUACCCCGGCGCGGAAUGCGCCAAGGAACAUGAACAAGAGAAGCGUUGCCCCGGCGUCAUCCCCCCACGGGGAUCCGUCCGCGUGGCCUCGCCGUCUCAAACUUAUCAAAACGACUCCCGGCAACGGAUAUCUGGGCUCUCGCAUCGAUGAAGAACGUAGCGAAAUGCGAUACUUGGUGUGAAUUGCAGAAUCCCGUGAACCAUCGAGUCUUUGAACGCAAGUUGCGCCCGAAGCCAUCCGGCCGAGGGCACGUCUGCCUGGGUGUCACGCAACAUGUCGCCCCUAAAGCCCUCCCCCAUCCCAUCCCGGGGUGAGCGGAAGGCGCAGGGCGCGGACGCUGGCCUCCCGUCGCGCACCGCUGCGGCUGGCCUAAAAAUGAGCGAUGGAGCGACGCACUCCGCGACGCACGGUGGUGGUAAAUUCGCCCCUCGGGCAACAGUCCGGAUCGUCCCUCCCUCGGCGCUCGGCGGCCUUCCAUCAAAACACAUGCGACCCCAGGUCAGGCGGGGCCACCCGCUGAGUUUAAGCAUAU
Molecule: unclassified non-coding RNA, 728 nt
Filed under: Lagerstroemia excelsa
Lineage: Eukaryota; Viridiplantae; Streptophyta; Magnoliopsida; Myrtales; Lythraceae
Description: partial contains small subunit ribosomal RNA, internal transcribed spacer 1, 5.8S ribosomal RNA, internal transcribed spacer 2, and large subunit ribosomal RNA
Rfam family: 5.8S ribosomal RNA (bases 308-463)
Source: RNAcentral